AGAACGAACGCUGGCGGCAUGCCUAACACAUGCAAGUCGAACGAGACCUUCGGGUCUAGUGGCGCACGGGUGCGUAACGCGUGGGAAUCUGCCCUUGGGUUCGGAAUAACAGUUAGAAAUGACUGCUAAUACCGGAUGAUGACGAAAGUCCAAAGAUUUAUCGCCCAGGGAUGAGCCCGCGUAGGAUUAGCUAGUUGGUGAGGUAAAGGCUCACCAAGGCGACGAUCCUUAGCUGGUCUGAGAGGAUGAUCAGCCACACUGGGACUGAGACACGG
Molecule: ribosomal RNA, 275 nt
Filed under: uncultured soil bacterium
Lineage: Bacteria
Description: partial 16S ribosomal RNA
Rfam family: Bacterial small subunit ribosomal RNA
Source: RNAcentral